UAUGUUUGCAACUUAGAAGGACUUGUGUUCUUUCAGAACUAGGAGCAAUGCUUGAACACGAUGUUCAAGCAAGCUGCCUCUGAGACAUGGAUGUCGAAUAGGCAGCGGUUGCGUAUGUGGCUAUGAAUCGAAUAAGAACACAUAGUCCUUGUUAGUUGCAAUACAU
This is a non-coding RNA of Clostridium sp. CAG:127, 166 nucleotides long. The record is from Rfam. NCBI's taxonomy places the organism in Bacteria, Bacillati, Bacillota, Clostridia, Eubacteriales, Clostridiaceae.